GACGAACGCUGGCGGCGUGCUUAACACAUGCAAGUCGAACGAAAAGGCCCUGCUUUUGUGGGGUGCUCGAGUGGCGAACGGGUGAGUAACACGUGAGUAACCUUCCCUUGACUUUUGGAUAACUUCAGGAAACUGUGGCUAAUACCGGAUAGGAGCUCCUGCUGCAUGGUGGGGGUUGGAAAGUUUCGGCGGUUGGGGAUGGACUCGCGGCUUAUCAGCUUGUUGGUGGGGUAGUGGCUUACCACGGCUUUGACGGGUAGCCGGCCGGAGAGGGUGACCGGCAAAAUUGGGACUGAGAAACGGCCAAAACUCCUACGGGAGGAAGAAGUGGGGAAAAUUGAAAAAGGGGCGGAAGCCUGAUGAAGCAACGCGGCGUGCGGGAUAACGGCCUUCGGGUUGUAAACCGCUUUCGCCGGUGAGGAAGUGUGAGUGACGGUAAUGGGUAAAGAAGCACCGGCUAACUACGUG
This 468-nucleotide ribosomal RNA is filed under the name uncultured bacterium. RNAcentral describes it as "partial 16S ribosomal RNA". It matches the Rfam family "Bacterial small subunit ribosomal RNA", at positions 28 to 507 of the family's 1533-position model. The record is from RNAcentral.